Molecule: ribosomal RNA, 305 nt
Filed under: uncultured bacterium
Lineage: Bacteria
Description: bacterial SSU rRNA
Rfam family: Bacterial small subunit ribosomal RNA
Source: RNAcentral
UGGAUCCUACGGGAGGCAGCAGUCGAGAAUCAUUCACAAUGGGGGAAACCCUGAUGGUGCGACGCCGCGUGGGGGAAUGAAGGUCUUCGGAUUGUAAACCCCUGUCAUGUGGGCGCAAAUUAAAAAGAUAGUACCACAAGAGGAAGAGACGGCCAACUCUGUGCCAGCAGCCGCGGUAAUACAGAGGUCUCAAGCGUUGUUCGGAAUCACUGGGCGUAAAGCGUGCGUAGGCUGUUUCGUAAGUCGUGUGUGAAGGGCGCGGGCUCAACCCGCGGACGGCACAUGAUACUGCGAGACUAGAGUAU